UCCUACGGGAGGCAGCAGUGGGGAAUAUUGCGCAAUGGGCGAAAGCCUGACGCAGCGCGCCGCGUGGGGGAUGACGGCCUUCGGGUUGUAAACCUCUUUUACCACUAACGCAGGCUCGGAGUGUUCUUCGGGUUGACGGUAGGUGGGGAAUAAGGACCGGCUAACUACGUGCCAGCAGCCGCGGUAAUACGUAGGGUCCGAGCGUUGUCCGGAAUUAUUGGGCGUAAAGAGCUCGUAGGCGGCAUGUCGCGUCUGCUGUGAAAGACCGGGGCUUAACUUCGGUUUUGCAGUGGAUACGGGCAUGCUAGAGGUAGGUAGGGGAGACUGGAAUUCCUGGUGUAGCGGUGAAAUGCGCAGAUAUCAGGAGGAACACCGGUGGCGAAGGCGGGUCUUUGGGCCUUACCUGACGCUGAGGAGCGAAAGCAUGGGUAGCCAACAGGAUUAGAUACCCUGGUAGUCCAUGCCGUAAACGUUGGGCGCUAGGUGUGGGGACUUUCCACGGUUUCCGCGCCGUAGCUAACGCAUAAGCG
RNAcentral lists this ribosomal RNA (530 nucleotides) under uncultured bacterium. RNAcentral's name for it is "bacterial SSU rRNA". It matches the Rfam family "Bacterial small subunit ribosomal RNA", at positions 337 to 866 of the family's 1533-position model. The record is from RNAcentral.